GUUCCCUCAUCUACCCUGUAGUACCGAAUAGUGUCUGAUUUGUGCAUACACUUUCGGUUACAAGGUGAAUGACGUGAAGU
Non-coding RNA from Haemonchus placei, 80 nucleotides. The record is from Rfam. NCBI's taxonomy places the organism in Eukaryota, Metazoa, Nematoda, Chromadorea, Rhabditida, Trichostrongylidae.